This 1946-nucleotide ribosomal RNA is filed under the name Mesorhizobium sp. RNAcentral describes it as "partial 23S ribosomal RNA". It matches the Rfam family "Bacterial large subunit ribosomal RNA", at positions 1 to 1977 of the family's 2925-position model. The record is from RNAcentral. Lineage: Bacteria; Pseudomonadati; Pseudomonadota; Alphaproteobacteria; Hyphomicrobiales; Phyllobacteriaceae.
GUUAUAUGGUCAAGUGAAGAAGCGCAUACGGUGGAUGCCUUGGCAGUCAGAGGCGAUGAAAGACGUGGUAGCCUGCGAAAAGCUUCGGGGAGUCGGCAAACAGACUGUGAUCCGGAGAUGUCUGAAUGGGGGAACCCAGCCAUCACAAGAUGGUUAUCUUGCACUGAAUACAUAGGUGCAAGAGGCGAACCAGGGGAACUGAAACAUCUAAGUACCCUGAGGAAAAGAAAUCAACCGAGAUUCCCUUAGUAGUGGCGAGCGAACGGGGAUUAGCCCUUAAGCUUCUUUGAUUUUAGCGGAACGCUCUGGAAAGUGCGGCCAUAGUGGGUGAUAGCCCUGUACGCGAAAGGAUCUUAGAAGUGAAAUCGAGUAGGACGGAGCACGAGAAACUUUGUCUGAAUAUGGGGGGACCAUCCUCCAAGGCUAAAUACUACUGACUGACCGAUAGUGAACUAGUACCGUGAGGGAAAGGCGAAAAGAACCCCGGAGAGGGGAGUGAAAUAGAUCCUGAAACCGUAUGCGUACAAGCAGUGGGAGCCCACUUUGUUGGGUGACUGCGUACCUUUUGUAUAAUGGGUCAGCGACUUAUUUUCAGUGGCGAGCUUAACCGAAUAGGGGAGGCGUAGCGAAAGCGAGUCUUAAUAGGGCGUCUAGUCGCUGGGAAUAGACCCGAAACCGGGCGAUCUAUCCAUGGGCAGGUUGAAGGUUAGGUAACACUGACUGGAGGACCGAACCGACUACCGUUGAAAAGUUAGCGGAUGACCUGUGGAUCGGAGUGAAAGGCUAAUCAAGCUCGGAGAUAGCUGGUUCUCCUCGAAAGCUAUUUAGGUAGCGCCUCAUGUAUCACUGUAGGGGGUAGAGCACUGUUUCGGCUAGGGGGUCAUCCCGACUUACCAAACCGAUGCAAACUCCGAAUACCUACAAGUGCCGAGCAUGGGAGACACACGGCGGGUGCUAACGUCCGUCGUGAAAAGGGAAACAACCCAGACCGUCAGCUAAGGUCCCAAAGUUAUGGUUAAGUGGGAAACGAUGUGGGAAGGCUUAGACAGCUAGGAGGUUGGCUUAGAAGCAGCCACCCUUUAAAGAAAGCGUAAUAGCUCACUAGUCGAGUCGGCCUGCGCGGAAGAUGUAACGGGGCUCAAACCAUACACCGAAGCUACGGGUAUCACGUAAGUGAUGCGGUAGAGGAGCGUUCUGUAAGCCUGUGAAGGUGAGUUGAGAAGCUUGCUGGAGGUAUCAGAAGUGCGAAUGCUGACAUGAGUAACGACAAUGGGUGUGAAAAACACCCACGCCGAAAGACCAAGGUUUCCUGCGCAACGUUAAUCGACGCAGGGUUAGUCGGUCCCUAAGGCGAGGCUGAAAAGCGUAGUCGAUGGAAAACAGGUUAAUAUUCCUGUACUUCUGGUUAUUGCGAUGGAGGGACGGAGAAGGCUAGGCCAGCUUGGCGUUGGUUGUCCAAGUUUAAGGUGGUAGGCUGAAAUCUUAGGUAAAUCCGGGGUUUCAAGGCCGAGAGCUGAUGACGAGUUACCCUCUGGGUGACGAAGUGGUUGAUGCCAUGCUUCCAAGAAAAGCUUCUAAGCUUCAGAUAACCAGGAACCGUACCCCAAACCGACACAGGUGGUUGGGUAGAGAAUACCAAGGCGCUUGAGAGAACUCGGGUGAAGGAACUAGGCAAAAUGGCACCGUAACUUCGGGAGAAGGUGCGCCGGUGAGGGUGAAGCACUUGCUGCGUAAGCCCACGCCGGUCGAAGAUACCAGGCCGCUGCGACUGUUUAUUAAAAACACAGCACUCUGCAAACUCGUAAGAGGACGUAUAGGGUGUGACACCUGCCCGGUGCCGGAAGGUUAAUUGAUGGGGUUAGCGCAAGCGAAGCUCUUGAUCGAAGCCCCGGUAAACGGCGGCCGUAACUAUAACGGUCCUAAGGUAGCGAAAUUCCUUGUCGGGU